RNAcentral lists this ribosomal RNA (494 nucleotides) under uncultured bacterium. Its description in RNAcentral is "partial 16S ribosomal RNA". It matches the Rfam family "Bacterial small subunit ribosomal RNA", at positions 28 to 506 of the family's 1533-position model. The record is from RNAcentral.
GAUGAACGCUGGCGGCGUGCUUAACACAUGCAAGUCGAACGAAGCACCUCUCCCGAAGAUUGACACAGCUUGCUGUAGAUUGAUUCAUUUGAGGUGACUGAGUGGCGGACGGGUGAGUAACGCGUGGGUAACCUGCCUCAUAGAGGGGGACAACAGUUGGAAACGACUGCUAAUACCGCAUAGUAAGAAGAAUUCGCAUGUUUUCUUCUUGAAAGAUUUAUCGCUAUGAGAUGGACCCGCGUCUGAUUAGCUAGUUGGUAAGGUAACGGCUUACCAAGGCGACGAUCAGUAGCCGGCUUGGGAGAGUGAACGGCCACAUUGGGACUGAGACACGGCCCAAACUCCUACGGGAGGCAGCAGUGGGGAAUAUUGCACAAUGGGGGAAACCCUGAUGCAGCGACGCCGCGUGAGUGAAGAAGUAUUUCGGUAUGUAAAGCUCUAUCAGCAGGGAAGAUAAUGACGGUACCUGACUAAGAAGCCCCGGCUAACUACGU